RNAcentral lists this unclassified non-coding RNA (240 nucleotides) under soil metagenome. RNAcentral describes it as "partial contains 5.8S ribosomal RNA, internal transcribed spacer 2, and large subunit ribosomal RNA". The record is from RNAcentral.
AACUGAUACUACCUGCGGGAACCUGCGGAGGGAUCAUUACCGAGUUUACAACUCCCAAACCUAAUGUGAACGUUACCAAACUGUUGCCUCGGCGGGAUCUCUGCCCCGGGUGCGUCGCAGCCCCGGACCAAGGCGCCCGCCGGAGGACCAACCAAAACUCUUUUGUAUACCCCCUCGCGGGUUUUUUAUAUCUGAGCCAUCUCGGCGCCUCUCGUAGGCGUUUCGAAAAUGAAUCAAAAC